RNAcentral lists this ribosomal RNA (401 nucleotides) under uncultured soil bacterium. RNAcentral describes it as "bacterial SSU rRNA". It matches the Rfam family "Bacterial small subunit ribosomal RNA", at positions 975 to 1375 of the family's 1533-position model. The record is from RNAcentral.
CAGGUCUUGACAUCCCACUGACCGGUGUAGAGAUACAUCUUUCCCUUCGGGGACAGUGGUGACAGGUGGUGCAUGGUUGUCGUCAGCUCGUGUCGUGAGAUGUUGGGUUAAGUCCCGCAACGAGCGCAACCCUUGAUCUUAGUUGCCAGCAUUCAGUUGGGCACUCUAAGGUGACUGCCGGUGACAAACCGGAGGAAGGUGGGGAUGACGUCAAAUCAUCAUGCCCCUUAUGACCUGGGCUACACACGUGCUACAAUGGACGGUACAGAGGGUUGCCAACCCGCGAGGGGGAGCUAAUCCCAUAAAACCGUUCCCAGUUCGGAUUGCAGGCUGCAACUCGCCUGCAUGAAGCCGGAAUCGCUAGUAAUCGUGGAUCAGCACGCCGCGGUGAAUACGUUCCC